CUUGAUCGAGCCGAGCCACAGCGGGUCGCGCCCGUCGCGGUCCCGCCCGUAGGUGGCCAACAGCGCCUGCGCCUC
This 75-nucleotide antisense RNA is filed under the name Micromonospora haikouensis. RNAcentral's name for it is "ASpks TB sRNA". It matches the Rfam family "ASpks TB sRNA". The record is from RNAcentral. Lineage: Bacteria; Bacillati; Actinomycetota; Actinomycetes; Micromonosporales; Micromonosporaceae.